ACUCCUUACGUCGUUAUAUGUUUAAGCUUUAAAUGGCUAUGCUGGCUGUGGGACAAUCUUAACGCAAUCUACGAAGCGUUAUCGCAUUAGCUUUUGUAACCGUUAGGCAGACAAGACCAAAAUGUUGAACAGGAGUGUAUGCAUUGCUUUGUGUUUGUACGUUUCCGGUUGUCUGUCGUUUUACACGACUUGCAAAGAUGGCUGAAUUCCGUUUACGGGCUCCUGUUACCUAUUUAAUUUCGAAGAAAUGCCAUUUCCACAAGCUGAGCAAUUUUGUAGAAUACACGAAAACAGUCAUCUUGUUCACGUUGACGGUGACACAGAAAACCAGUUUUUGAAAGACCGAAUAGUAC
Molecule: long non-coding RNA, 353 nt
Organism: Dreissena polymorpha
Lineage: Eukaryota; Metazoa; Mollusca; Bivalvia; Myida; Dreissenidae
Exons: 3
Source: RefSeq, a predicted model, not a curated record